CUAGCAUAUCAAUAAGCGGAGGAAAAGAAACCAACAGGGAUGGCCCCAGUAACGGCGAGUGAAGCGGCCGCAGCUCAGAUUUGAAAGCCGGCCUUCGGGCCCGCGUUGUCAUCUGCAGAGGAUGCUCCGGGCGAGGCGCCUCCCGAGUCCCCUGGAACGGGGCGCCGGAGAGGGUGAGAGCCCCGUACGGUAGGACGCCGAGCCCGCCUGCAGCUCCUUCGACGAGUCGAGUAGUUUGGGAAUGCUGCUCCAAACGGGAGGUAAACGCCUUCCAAAGCUAAAUACCGGCUGGAGACCGAUAGCGCACAAGUAGAGUGAUCGAAAGAUGAAAAGCACUUUGGAAAGAGGGUCAAACAGCACGUGAAAUUGUUGAAAGGGAAGCGCCCGCGACCAGACCCGGGCCGCGCGGACCCGCCGGCGUUCUCGCCGGCGCCCGCCGCGCGGCGCGGGCCAGCAUCGGCUCUCGCGGGGGGAUCAGGGCCCCGGGAAUGUGGCUCUCCAGGGAGCGUUAAGCCCGGGAGCCUCGCCCCCGCGGGGGCCGAGGACCGCGCUUCGGCAAGGAUGCUGGCGUAAUGGUCGUCGGCGACCCGUCUUGAAACACGGACCAAGGAGUCGAGGUUCUGCGCGAGUGUCUGGGUGGCAAGCCCGCACGCGGAAUGAACGUGAACGCAGGUGGGAGCUUCGGCGCACCACCGGCCGGUCCUGAUGUCCUCGGAUGGAUCUGAGCAGGAGCGCAGGGCCUCGGACCCGAAAGAUGGUGAACUAUGCUUGGAUAGGGUGAAGCCAGAGGAAACUCUGGUGGAGGCUCGCAGCGGUUCUGACGUGCAAAUCGAUCGUCGAAUCUGAGCAUGGGGGCGAAAGACCAAUCGAACCGUCUAGUAGCUGGUUGCCGCCGAGU
This 898-nucleotide ribosomal RNA is filed under the name Linocarpon calami. Its description in RNAcentral is "Linocarpon sp. SK-2019a partial large subunit ribosomal RNA". It matches the Rfam family "Eukaryotic large subunit ribosomal RNA", at positions 34 to 966 of the family's 3401-position model. Lineage: Eukaryota; Fungi; Ascomycota; Sordariomycetes; Chaetosphaeriales; Linocarpaceae. The record is from RNAcentral.